GACGAACGCUGGCGGCGUGCUUAACACAUGCCAGUCGAACGGAAAGGCCCUGCUUUUGUGGGGUGCUCGAGUGGCGAACGGGUGAGUAACACGUGAGUAACCUGCCCUUGACUUUGGGAUAACUUCAGGAAACUGGGGCUAAUACCGGAUAGGAGCUCCUGCUGCAUGGUGGGGGUUGGAAAGUUUCGGCGGUUGGGGAUGGACUCGCGGCUUAUCAGCUUGUUGGUGGGGUAGUGGCUUACCAAGGCUUUGACGGGUAGCCGGCUUGAGAGGGUGACCGGCCACAUUGGGACUGAGAUACGGCCCAGACUCCUACGGGAGGCAGCAGUGGGGAAUAUUGCACAAUGGGCGGAAGCCUGAUGCAGCAACGCCGCGUGCGGGAUGACGGCCUUCGGGUUGUAAACCGCUUUCGCCUGUGACGAAGCGUGAGUGACGGUAAUGGGUAAAGAAGCACCGGCUAACUACGUG
RNAcentral lists this ribosomal RNA (468 nucleotides) under uncultured bacterium. RNAcentral's name for it is "partial 16S ribosomal RNA". It matches the Rfam family "Bacterial small subunit ribosomal RNA", at positions 28 to 507 of the family's 1533-position model. The record is from RNAcentral.